Molecule: ribosomal RNA, 346 nt
Filed under: uncultured eukaryote
Lineage: Eukaryota
Description: SSU rRNA
Rfam family: Eukaryotic small subunit ribosomal RNA
Source: RNAcentral
AUAGCGUAUAUUAAAGUUGUUGCAGUUAAAAAGCUCGUAGUUGAACCUUGGGCCUGGCUGGCCGGUCCGCCUCACCGCGUGCACUGGUCCGGCCGGGUCUUUCCUUCUGGCUACCCGCAUGCCCUUCAUUGGGUGUGUUGGGGAACCAGGACUUUUACUUUGAAAAAAUUAGAGUGUUCAAAGCAGGCAUUAGCUCGAAUACAUUAGCAUGGAAUAAUAGAAUAGGACGUGUGGUUCUAUUUUGUUGGUUUCUAGGACCAUCGUAAUGAUUAAUAGGGAUAGUCGGGGGCAUCAGUAUUCAAUCGUCAGAGGUGAAAUUCUUGGAUCGAUUGAAGACUAACUACUG